This 253-nucleotide ribosomal RNA is filed under the name uncultured bacterium. RNAcentral describes it as "partial 16S ribosomal RNA". It matches the Rfam family "Bacterial small subunit ribosomal RNA", at positions 524 to 776 of the family's 1533-position model. The record is from RNAcentral.
GACGAGGGGUCCAAGCGUUGUUCGGAAUUAUUGGGCGUAAAGCGGGUGUAGGUGGCUCUAUAAGUCAGGAGUGAAAUCCCCGAGCUCAACUUGGGAAGUGCUUCUGAUACUGCAGAGCUUGAAUGUGGGAGAGGGUAGUAGAAUUCCAGGUGUAGUGGUGAAAUACGUAGAUAUCUGGAGGAAUACCGGUGGCGAAGGCGGCUACCUGGCCCAACAUUGACACUGAGACCCGAAAGCGUGGGGAUCAAACAGG